UACAGAGGGUGCGAGCGUUAAUCGGAAUUACUGGGCGUAAAGCGCACGUAGGUGGCGACGUAAGUCGGGUGUGAAAGCCCCGGGCUCAACCUGGGAACUGCAUCUGUGACUGCAUCGCUGGAGUGCGGCAGAGGGGGAUGGAAUUCCGCGUGUAGCAGUGAAAUGCGUAGAUAUGCGGAGGAACACCGAUGGCGAAGGCAAUCCCCUGGGCCUGCACUGACGCUCAUGCACGAAAGCGUGGGGAGCAAACAGG
This 253-nucleotide ribosomal RNA is filed under the name uncultured bacterium. RNAcentral describes it as "partial 16S ribosomal RNA". It matches the Rfam family "Bacterial small subunit ribosomal RNA", at positions 524 to 776 of the family's 1533-position model. The record is from RNAcentral.